This 449-nucleotide ribosomal RNA is filed under the name uncultured bacterium. RNAcentral's name for it is "partial 16S ribosomal RNA". It matches the Rfam family "Bacterial small subunit ribosomal RNA", at positions 339 to 795 of the family's 1533-position model. The record is from RNAcentral.
CUACGGGGUGCUGCAGUAGGGAAUCUUGCGCAAUGGACGAAAGUCUGACGCAGCAACUCCGCGUGGAGGAAGACGGUCUUCGGAUUGUAAACUCCUUUUAUGAGGGAAGAAAAAUAUUCAAAUUGACGGUACCUCAUGAAUAAGCCACGGCUAAAUACGUGCCAGCAGCCGCGGUAAUACGUAUGUGGCAAGCGUUACUCGGAAUCACUGGGCGUAAAGCGUACGUAGGCGGAUACGUAAGUCAGAAGUGAAAAUUCGGGGCUCAACCUCGAACCUGCUUUUGAAACUGUGUAUCUUGAGUAUCAGAGGGGUAGAUGGAAUUCUUGGUGUAGCGGUGGAAUGCGUAGAUAUCAAGAAGAACACCAGAGGCGAAGGCGGUCUACUGGCUGAAUACUGACGCUGAUGUACGAAAGCGUGGGGAGCGAACAGGAUUAGAUACCCCGGUAGUC